RNAcentral lists this ribosomal RNA (253 nucleotides) under uncultured bacterium. RNAcentral describes it as "partial 16S ribosomal RNA". It matches the Rfam family "Bacterial small subunit ribosomal RNA", at positions 524 to 776 of the family's 1533-position model. The record is from RNAcentral.
GACGAACCGUGCGAACGUUAUUCGGAAUCACUGGGCUUAAAGGGCGCGUAGGCGGGUGAGCGAGUCCGGGGUGAAAUCCCACGGCCCAACCGUGGAAGGGCCUCGGAUACCGCUCGUCUCGAGGGAGGUAGGGGCGUGUGGAACUUCCGGUGGAGCGGUGAAAUGCGUAGAGAUCGGAAGGAACGCCGGUGGCGAAAGCGACACGCUGGACCUCUUCUGACGCUGAGGCGCGAAAGCCAGGGUAGCGAACGGG